This is a long non-coding RNA of Meriones unguiculatus (Mongolian gerbil), 4000 nucleotides long. RefSeq lists it as uncharacterized. The record is from RefSeq and is a predicted model, not a curated record. The transcript has 2 exons. Lineage: Eukaryota; Metazoa; Chordata; Mammalia; Rodentia; Muridae.
CCCUUGUGCGACAUGUGCUGCCGGCCCCGGGCUCCAUGAGCGUGGCGGGCGGGCACUUGGCAGGGUCGGGUGCUCCCGUCCGGUGUGUUCUCUUGAUAAGCCGGCGUGGAGGGGAGAGAACUGGAGAGAGACGGGUGGGCUCGUGGCUUUCAUGGGACCGCAGGGAAGAGAACUAGCAGCGUGCCACGAGGCUCCCAGCAGCAGUUGGGGAAACAAGUCUUUAUCCCGGCUUGCAGCCACGAGGUCUUGAUUGGGGGAGGGGUGGGGAAGAAUAGUCCCUCGCUUGCUCUUUUCCUCUGGCUUGCACUGUACGGUAGAGUUCAGGGUCGAUGCUGGUCGUAUCCCAGUAAUUCUGGAGCACAUUAGUGCGUGCACGGAUCAGAAUCUUGGUGAUUUUUUCAACUUUAUUCCCUUAUACCUCCUAUCCACCCCCGACGUUGCUGGCCUGGCCCGGCCCUGUUGUCCUUGGUUUGGCAAGUGGAUGGGAGUGCCCUUUAGGAAGGUUAGAAGAAAGCAAAUUGGAACAGGUUUUAGAAAGUGGUAGCAAUUUUGAGUAAAUGUGCUUACCCUUUCUCUGUCUUCACCCCCACCCCCACCCUAGUCAUACACGUGGACCUAGCUAGCAGCACCAGAAGCUGUGCCCAGGGAUACUUGCUGAGAAGGAAGUUUGCCUGAGUGGUAUAUGCCAUUAUGGAGGACAGAAGAAAAGGGAUUGCUGCUUCCUGGAUCUGAAGUUUCCCUCUACAGGUAGUAUGAGUCAAACAGCUGCCCUGCUGAUAACACUUUUUUCUUUAUGUAUGCUAUGAUUUUGUGUGUGGGUUUGGGAAAGCCCAGUGCACCGGAGAGCCAACAUUCUAAGAGGUGCUGCUUGUAUUCCUUUGAAGAAUGCUGUUUUUAAGGCUUAAAUAUAUUCAAUUUGGAACUUGUGGCUUUUAGAUGAUUUUUCUCCUGUUUUGGUUUAAGCUGAAAUUUGCCACAGCUUUUAGAGCUUUGGGCUUGUUGCUUUGUCUAAUUAUUUAUUUCAAAUUUAGCAGGAACUUAAAGAGAGCAUCAACCUUGUGAAACUGAAGAUUGUGACCAGUCAGAAUAAUGUCAAAGUGCUUACAGUGCAGGUAGUGACAUGGACAUCUACUGCAGUGAAGGCACUUGUAGCAUUAUGGUGACAGCUGCCUCGGGAGCCACGGUGGGCUGCGAGCCGCGGUGAGGGCCUGCUGCUGCUGAGUGCUUUUUGUUCUAAGGUGCAUCUAGUGCAGAUAGUGAAGUAGACGAGCAUCUACUGCCCUAAGUGCUCCUUCUGGCAUAAGAAGUUAUGUCUUCAUCCGAGCCGAGCAAGCGUGUAGGGUCUUCACAGCUCUUGUUUGCAGCCCUCCGUCAGUUUUGCGUAGCUGCACUACAAGAAGCAUGUAGCUGUGCAAAUCUAUGCAAAGCUGACGGCGGCCUGUGUUUACUUCAAGUGCUCGUUGUGUCUCUGUUCUUUAACUAACUGUGCUUUUACUGCGGCGUAGAGCCCGCGAGCUGUGUCUGCGACAGCUUCCGCGGCACUAAAGUGCUUAUAGUGCAGGUAGUGGCCACUAUCUACUGCACUAGGAGCACUUGCAGUGCCGCCAGCUGCAGAGCCCCAGCCCCGGCCACCGCCCAGCCAAGCCGCCGGUCCCUGAGCACCGCUCUAUGGUUAGUUUUGCAGCUUUGCAUCCAGCUGUGUAAUACUCUGCUGUGCAAAUCCAUGCAAAACUGACUGUGGUGGUGAAAAGUCUGUAGAGAAGUGAGGGAAAAUCAAACCCCUUUCUGCACAGGUUGGGACUUGUCGCAAUGCUGUGUUUCUGUAUGGUAUUGCACUUGUCCCGGCCUGUUGAGUUUGGUGGGGAUUGUGACCAGAAGAUGUGAAAAUUAAAUAUUGCUGAAGAUGCCGUUUUCUACUGUAAAAAAAUAUAUAUAUAUAUAUACUCAAGAAAUGGAAUGUAUGAACACUUUUUGUAACACAUUGCGUUCAUUAGUGUAAAACAGGAUUUUUAAUUGAAAUUCAGUUUGUCUUGCUGUCGUUUCGCUUUUGGGUUUGCAUGCUAGACUUCCUAGGUAUUACAGUAUGGUAAAAGUUAAAAUGUGCCCUGGUAUGUGCCCAGGUUCACUCAGAACCUGGUAUGAGUCCAGGCUUAUUUUACUCAAACCCUUAUUCAACUGUGACUAACAGGAGUUGAGAAAAUUGCUUUCUUUGGAUGCCUGUAUAAAAAGGGUUUUUCUUUUAUUAAAGCAUGACGUUUAGGGUGAGGUAUUUCCUAAAUGUAUGAGUUCUUCGUGGCAGCGGUUAACAGGUAGUAGCUUCCACUCUGUUGUUAAUGGGUGAACCCUUUAAGUCAGAAUUACACUCAGACCGUUCUUAGCCAGUGACCCCUGAAAAGGGAGAGCGCGUUUGAGGGAAAGAUGACAAGCGGGUGAGAAAUGGAGCGACAGGUAUGCAAACACUCCCCUGGUGCCCCAGGAGUGUGUUACAAUCUGAAAAAGUCUCUCUUCAAGUUUGCAGUUAGUGUUCAUGAUAGAGUGUAUAUAUAUAGUUCCCUCUAGAUUUGGUGUUCCAAGCUGUGAGAAUAGAUGUCAAAAAUCAGCUCUAAGCUGAUAGUAUUUAAGCAAUUAUAUCUAUCACUUUGAGAAAAGGAUUAUUUUUAUUAAAUUGUCAUAGCCUUUGUAGUCAGCUCAUCUACAAACCUAAAUUUCCCAUCUCCUGUGUUCUUUUUACAAGAAAUGUAAGAAGCUUAGUAUUGGAUCCCUGGGCAGCAAGGUAAGAUUUCACAGAUCUGGAAUUGAUUGUAAGUGGUCAGAAUUAAAGUGGAAGUGCAAUCAUUUUUACCUGAGUUCUUGAACCUUUUGGCUUUUAGAUGAUCAGUGAAAAAAGAUUCCUUUGAAAUGACAAGUUCUAUAAUGUCAACAUGACACAUGUUCUCUAUAAAGGAAAGGAAAAUCUGUCAAAUGUUUGUGUUAAAACUUUUUGAAUGUGUUUAUCCUUUAACGUAGGAAGCCUGCUAGGUGCUUUUAGGUAUAAGUUUAAAAUUAGUAGGGUCUUAGCAUCAUGGAGCAUUGAGGCUGUAGUUAGUGGUUGUGCUCAGAAGGUUUUGACCUUGAAUUUUGAGAUUUAAUUCUAGUGAGUAAGGUGAUAAAAUGUUUUGUUGGGAGCCAGGCACUAAUGUGGGGUUUUUCAGCAAUUUUCUUUUCUCCCUUUCUUAAGUUUGGUUGAGUAGAUGGGGGACUAGUUGUUUAUGUUAUCUCAGAAUUCUAUAUGGAAGAACAGCUUCGGUCUCUUACACUUUUGAUCUUGUGGUAGCUUAGGCAUUGAAUAGUUCUUAAAUUCAUCCUAUAUUGAUAAGGAAGCACUAUUUAUUACUAAGAUGUUGAGGCUUUACAAAGUGUUGGUUUUACUAAAAGCCCUUAAGAUGUUUUAACAGGCAAACCUAAGCACAGAAAGCCAGCUGGAGUUUCCCUGUGUGUUUUGAAGAGUCAGUCCUACAUAAUUCCUGACACAGUGCAACCUGCAGCUGCCUGGAGAGAGAACAAUUCAAAGUCACUAAAGUCUGUUGUUUAUAUAAUGAAAUUCUGUUCUGUAACUGAUAACAUUAUGGAGCUUGUCUGGCUAUAGGGGAGUCUCUGCUAACGGUGGGAACAGCUUGGUGGGCAGUGUCCAUUCUGGGUGUGUAAGUUGCAGUAGGCAUGCCUCCUUACGACUUCCCGAUUCUUUUGUAUAGAGGCAACUGCUUUGCUCUGCACACUUGGUGAGGGUAAAUGACUUACAAUGUAUUGCCCGUUGUAUUGGACCUAUUCAGGAAGUAGGCCCAAUGAUUUUAAAGUACAGGGAGAUUAUUGACAAAGGUUUUAGUGGUAUUGUAAGGUACCUGGUUAAUGUGGUUACAGACUCGGGAGUGCUGUUCAAAUUGUUUUAGUGUUAAUAAAUACUGCGUUUGAACAUUUUAUGUACAUAAUGAUCAUGUCAAAAUAAAAUUAUCUUGUAGCACCA